RNAcentral lists this transfer RNA (40 nucleotides) under Lessonia trabeculata. Its description in RNAcentral is "partial tRNA-Ile". Lineage: Eukaryota; Phaeophyceae; Laminariales; Lessoniaceae. The record is from RNAcentral. RNAcentral also lists the same sequence under 1 other name.
GUAGAUCACGACGGUUUGUAGUUUAAUUGGCAAAACAUAG